ACGUGAUCUGAGUUCAGACCGGAGCAAUCCAGGUCAGUUUCUAUCUAUAAAGGGCUUUUUCUAGUACGAAAGGACCGGAAAAGCAUGGCCUAUACUAAAAGCAAGCCAUCUAAUAUAAUUUAUGACCUUAACUCAAAAAAUAAAGAACCUCCUACCCUCCCUUCAAGAAAAGGA
RNAcentral lists this ribosomal RNA (174 nucleotides) under Dendropsophus microcephalus (yellow treefrog). RNAcentral describes it as "partial 16S large subunit ribosomal RNA". Lineage: Eukaryota; Metazoa; Chordata; Amphibia; Anura; Hylidae. The record is from RNAcentral.